RNAcentral lists this long non-coding RNA (327 nucleotides) under Oryza sativa Indica Group (long-grained rice). Its description in RNAcentral is "lncRNA OsMH63_05G005470". Lineage: Eukaryota; Viridiplantae; Streptophyta; Magnoliopsida; Poales; Poaceae. The record is from RNAcentral. RNAcentral also lists the same sequence under 2 other names.
UUCCCAAAUUGUAAACCAAGACCAGUGCAUAUUCUCUUUGCCUUCUCUGUAGAAAUUGCUCUAGCUGAUGCAUUUGCCUUUCUUUUGUGGCAACUAGUGGAGCUCUGUGAUCCAGGAUACAAACUAAAAGAGUACACAUUGGCACCUGCUUCAUGGGAGUAUAUUAGGUCAACUUAUUCGCCGACGGUCAGGGCAUCGUCUUCAACCUCUAAAAUCAUUAGAAAAGAUGGGUGGAAAGGAGACAAUAGUGAUGAACACACUUUGGUGGUUGUGAUGGUGCUAGAGAUGAUACAAGGUAUGGAUGUGUGGGAGGGAUGGCAUGGCUGA